CCCUUAGAUGUCCUGGGCCGCACGCGUGCUACACUGACGCAUACAGCGAGCACUUUCCAGUUCCGAGAGGCUACUGGUAAUCAUCAAUAUGCGUCGUGAUGGGGAUAGAUCUUUGGAAUUCUGGAUCUUGAACGAGGAAUGCCUAGUAAUCGCAGGUCAUUAGCCUGCGAUGAUUAAGUCCCUGCCCUUUGUACACACCGCCCGUCGCUACUACCGAUUUCGAGUGGUCAGGUGAAUCUUUCGGACUGUGGGCGCCCUUGAGGUGUUCGUGGAAAGUCAGGUAAAUCUUAUCACUUAGAGGAAGUAAAAGUCGUAACA
This 318-nucleotide ribosomal RNA is filed under the name uncultured eukaryote. Its description in RNAcentral is "partial 18S ribosomal RNA". It matches the Rfam family "Eukaryotic small subunit ribosomal RNA", at positions 1470 to 1796 of the family's 1831-position model. The record is from RNAcentral.